Prinia subflava (tawny-flanked prinia) is the source of this 12292-nucleotide RNA transcript. RefSeq lists it as uncharacterized. The record is from RefSeq and is a predicted model, not a curated record. NCBI's taxonomy places the organism in Eukaryota, Metazoa, Chordata, Aves, Passeriformes, Cisticolidae. The transcript has 8 exons.
GCCCAGGCCUGCUUGCAAGACAAAUGGCUCCAUUGUUUCCGUGGUGUGCAAAUAUCACCGGUCCUGGGAGGUCAGGAUUGCACACACGCUGAGUGGAUUCUUAAACGACUUGGAUGAAAUACACACAGAAGAUUUCCAAGAUAAGGAGUCGGUAAUGAAAUGCAGUUAUGUGCUGGUGCCCACUGCUCUCCGUGUGUGCUGUGGUGACCUGGAGUUUUGUGGGGGUGCAGGUGCAGGCUGGGGAGCAGCACAUCUCCGAGGCUGGGAUGGGCUCUGGAGGCUUUCCAGAGUACUCUACACCUCUGCAGGAGUCUGGGCCUAGGGUGAGGCUGAAGCCUUCACUGUUGUUUCUGCACCUGGAUGCUGGAGGGAAGGAGGUGGGACAGGAUGAGGGGGAAACCGAUGAUACAUGCCAGAAGGAAAUGUAAUUGUGGUGGUUUACUUUCGGAACCUCUACUUUCAAAAGAUGUACAUGAAAGUUUUUGUUCCAGUGGCAUAGAGCCUCCUUCCACCCACUCUGAAAAUCAUGUUGCUUUUCAAGAGCUCCACAUGCAUUCAAGUAAAAAGUUUUGCAGACAAAGCCCUCAGAGAAAUGUGCUGCACUUGGGGAGCUCAGCAGAGCCGUGGACAUCACAGACACAGGAGAAUUGUUUGUGCUGUACAUGCCCAGACUAUAUGAAGAGGAUCUUUCAAGUUUAUAGACUUCAAGAAAAUACAAAUCCAGUUUUUUCCAAGCUUCUCAGUUUCUUACAUCAUCAUACGGGCAGCUGCAUUGGUCAUAAUGUUCAAGAACCCUGCGAAGCUGAAGUCAUUGUAUGUCAUUACAGCACUAUGAAAAGAGGUCCAUCUUGUUGGCUUUUGUCAGUGGCUGCUGUGUUUCCAUGUAGCUGUGUAACCCAUCCCAGGAAACAUGGACAUUUCUCAAGCACCACUACCAGGAGGGAAGCAGACUGUCAUCCUACUCCUUACUCCCUGUGGCAAGGAAUAUUCUCCAGUGUUUGGGGAACACUGCUACGCAGUCAACACUCCUGCUCUGAGGUGAUCUGUGGUUCCAGGUUCUUCCUCGAGAAAAAUUGUAAGUUCUAAAUCAAAAUGAAAGAUUCUGAGGUAAACUGCAAAGGGCAAAGAAAACUGCUCCACCAAGACCUGAAAGUAAGCCUACAGGAAUUAUCUGAAUGGUUGUAAUAUAACUCCCAUGAAAACUAGAGGUGUGGAUUAUUCUUCAUUUUUAUGUGAUGCAUGUUAUCUCACCUUUGUUUACCAAUCCAUCAUGGACACUGUAAAGGACAGUAAUGCAUAAUAGUAUAUGUUUAGAAUAUUCUGGAAGUAUGAUUUGCUUUCAAAAAUUAGCCUCCAAAACUUACAUGAAAAUCUAUCUGUGGCCUAUAUUUCAAAUAAAUAGAUCCUUUGCGCAAACACUUUACCAGUGUUUAUAAAUUGACUCAUGCUUGUAAUUAGCUCAUUUGGUAGCACAUUGUCCCCUGGUUUCAGCUGGCUCUCUGAGCACUGGGGACCCAUUUUUAAGCCAGGACACUUCCUGCUCACUUUCCCAAUACCCUUGGAAAAUUCCAGGAGUGUCAUUCAGAGUGCAAAGACAGUCAGCUCUUGACACUGUGGCUUGGCUGGGUGCUGACUGACCCUGGUCACUGAAGUGUUUCAGUGUGCUAAGGCAUCAGGAAUCUGACCCAGCAAAGAGAGACUUUGUGGGUUUUUUGGUGGGCAACCAUGCAGAAAUGUCUCUCAGUGGUGAGUGUCAAAAGUGGUGCAAGGAUAAAGGGGGGUCAGCUCUACCAGCAGGAGGAGGGAGCUGGCAUGUCACCUGAAGGGGAAACAUGGAAGUGCAACCUGUACAGGUACCUACUGUGCGGUUUUCCACACCCAGAUGAGAUAUGUACUCCUGGUGAUAUGAACUUCAUGCUGCCUGUUCAGAAACCUCUUUAUCAGCAUGGGCUAUCAGCUUUAAAAGAUUUGAUGCCUAAAUGAAGCUAUAAGAUGUCUGUGCAUUAUCAUAACAGAAAAGUCUUAUCUUGCACAACAGGUAAAUAUUACUGACACAGAGGACUAAUUUUAGGAAAUCUGACAUAAGGAUAGAGUGACAAGCUUAUUACAACUGACAUGUGUAUGUAGUUUUACACUUUUGAUUACACAGAUUUCGCUGAAGUGAGCCAGUAUCAGCUAAGUCUGUUUGCUGGUAUGACACGUGCUUUCCUUCCCUUUAAGUCCUGUGUAUGGAGAACUGCAGCCCUGAACAUGCAACCUUUGCUUCCAGACAAUGCUAAAUAAAGUCAACCAGGAAAGUUAAGGUAAAUCAAGUAAAUUUGGGAUAUGAAUCCAACUCCCAUAAAUCAAAAUGCACUGAAAGGCUUCUGUGUGGUUUAGUUCCUUCGAGUGUAGUGCAGCUGUAGGCUUGCUCAAGGAUCGAGCUCACUUCUUAUGAUUGUAUGCUCUUAAAAUUAAUGAACUUUAGGAAAACCCCAGGAGUGAGAUUAAAAAAGUUGAAAUGUGUGUCUGUUCUAUUGAACACUGAAAGGAAGAGAAGAAUGUCUUACCAAAUCACUUACAUAGUUAUAAUUUGAAAGAAUACAACAUUGCUUAAAUAAAGUCUCCUCCAUUUCAUGAAACUCCUAACAACAAUGGCACUUGCCUAAAAGAUAUCUUGGAAGCUGAAUUCAGUGUGAAAACCAUAAAUAAACCAGGGCAGAUAUUCUUGAAGUGAUUCCAAAGUAAACAUAUAUAUUUACAUAUUUUAUUAAUGUUUUACUAAUAUCUAUUAAUAUGUUAUCCUUUAGAAGAGAUGGCUUGGGUGGGAUCUUAUCCAUGUAUAUAAAUACAGAAUGGUGCAGAGAAGACUGAACUAUUCCCUUCUUACUCGUAUCCAGGGAAGGGUAGGAGGCAGUGGGUACAAAUUGAAACAGAGAGAAUUCUAUUAAACAGAAGAAGAAAAUUUUGUCCUGUGAGGGUAAUCAAACACUGAAUCAGAGAGAAGUGAAGUCUGUGUCUUUGGCAAUAGUUCAAAAUACAACCCUGAGCAACCUACUACCUUUUGGACCCUGCUUUGAGAGGGGUUGGACCUGAAAAUCUCCAGAGGUCCCUUCCCACCUUAGCCUUCUGUGUUUCUGUGUAGACAAGAUGCUGUUAGCAAUCUUCUAGUGAAGAAAGAUGAAUAAAAUUUCAAAUUUCAAUCUCUAGAAUUUUCUCUGACAUCAUCUUAUUUAUGAGAUGUCUUAAGAUGAGGUUUAAAUUAUUGAAUUAUUCUUUCUGUAAUGUAGGGGAAAAGAUGAUUCAAAUGUAAGUGGUCCUUUUGAGUAUUAAAAUGAGAAAUUAAAAUGUUAUGCCAGCUUUUUUUUUUUUUUUUGGUGGAAUUCAUGUUCAGUUGUCAGUGUUCUGGACAUUGAUUUUACCUCUGCUCUACAAGAUCUAUUCCUUUCAGAUCUUCACUGAUUUUUCAUUUUGGAUGAUUUAUGACAUAUUCCUUUUGACAAUAGGCACACUUAUCUUCUUUUUCUGCCCCCUUGCUAGUUCCAGGAUAGUGUAAUGUGAUAGAAAUGGAGAGGAACCAUGAAUGACUUAGGAAAUUUCAGUAGUCUUAGCAUUUUGCCCAGACUGGCUUGUUUGACAUCUUUGUUCCAAUGUUCUGACUUUGCUCUCUUGCUAAGCAAUCCAACUGUUCAAACACCAGUUAAAAAGAAGCUGUAUCCACUUAAUGGAAGCAUGCAAAAGUCCAUAACACUGAAAAGAAGUGGAACUUCCCCUAAUUUAGUCUACUGUCUAUAUUUAUCACUGUUCAUUUGCUAUGUGCCUUCCCUCCCACCCCAGCUGCCACCUCACAGAUGGCAUUCCCAGCAAAAGAAACAGUUCGGAUUCAGUACACUGUCAUCUGGAAAUGUCAGCAGAUGACAGGGAGAGGGGAGGAAGAGGAGGGCUAGCUCCACAUUUUUUCAGGACAAAACUUGACCUCAAAUUCUACUCAGUCACCACAGAGUUCUGGGGAUUACCAGGCUGGAGGGGAGGGAGGGCACAAAGGAAGCAAAAAAAGAGUUUGAUAUGGUGUGUAUAAUGAUCUUAUGUUCUGAGGCUUGCUGGAUAGAAAUUUCCAUACUCUGCAGUUAUUUACUUCUAACUCUGUAACAGCUUUAAUUUAUUAAAGGGCUAAAAAAAAAAAAAAAGAAGAAAGAAAAAGGUUUUGUUUGCCCUAGAAACCAAGUGAAAACAAUGAGGAAGAAGAAGGCAUCCCUGCAAAGUUGACACUAUUAAGCCCAGGCACAAAGUGGAACCUUUGCAGUGCCUGUGAACAGAUGUCUAAUGACAAGCAAAUAAAACAAUAAUUCUUAAGCAAUGAUUUAUUUCUGGUUUAGUUUUUUAGUGCCUUUUAUUCAGCCUUUUCAUAUCAGUCAUUUCUAUAUGCUUCUGGUGUUGUAUGCUGUCCUGAGUGUUACUGACAAAAACAUGGUGGGCCUGGAACUUGAUACAAGGAAAGAGACAGUGCAAGGUUUUAGAUUUAAGGAUAAUGUAGCCACAGGUGUCCAAUAUUUGUCUUCAAAUAUUUCAGAUGUCACUAACUGUGCCAAAUUUUCAUUCUGAAGACUGAAAUUUCAAAAACUUGUGUGCCUGAGAGUAAAAAAUUUCAGAUACUAUUAUUUUGUUGAACAAGGCUAAGGAAUAAGGUUGCUGGGUUUGGCAUCUUAAAAAUAUUCUUGCAGCUGUUUCUCUAGGGAGCUGUGGUACCUUCCUGUGUUGCAACAAGGGCUCAAUAUUCAGUACAUUUUAGCAGCAGGAGGGGUUUUGGCUGCCUUGUGAAAAUUCAUUCAAAAUAGCAAUAAGAGUACAGGCUUCUGAGAAAUACCCUCUCACAAACAGACAGAAGACGCUGCCCAGCUGCAGCAGGGUUGCUGAGGCACCCGGCCUGAGAGCAGAGGCAGAUGUCCUUUUCAGUGACUCAGACUAGAGCACUCUAAGCAGGUAUUGGCCCAUCUGCUCCCACAUCUCAGAUGUCGUGGCUGAUUAUCUGAACACUCAAGCUCUGUUAUAGUGAAAAUUCAGGAAAGCGGUGCCAUUCACUGACAAUGACAUCUUAACAGCCCCCAGCUGCUCAUUCCCAGCCUAUGCCCUCCUUUAGCUCUUCUAAAAUUGUUUAUGGGGCCAAGAACCUGGAUCCUGCCCUGCCACACUCCCAAAAAAGAUCUGAUUAUUUUUAGCCUGAACUGACUCUCACUCCUGUUUCAGUGUAGGGAUGGCUGGGGUUAGAUUUGCUGGAGGACAGCUAACUGUUUGUGCACUGCCAUCAGGAGACGGUCUUUUCCAGGCCCUGCAUUUUCCUCUUGCUUUUUAAGUGCAGAUGUCAUAAGGAGACCCAACUGUGUUUGUACAUGCUCUGCAGUCAGGAGAGCAAGGGGAGCAGCUGAGGGCUGGCAUCCCGCCCUGCCGAGGGCAGGCAGCUGCAGCUGGUAAUCCCCUGGACUGCCGCUGCAGGCCUUGAUAAGGCUGCUCUGGCAGAGCACAUCAGGCUCUUUGCUUGCUUUCCUACCACCCUAAAAGGUAACCAAGCCUUAAUAAGGAUUAAGUAUAAAAUCAAAGUCUCUGCUGGUGCCAUGAGCACUUCAUUAUGCCCAAGAAAUGUAACAACAUUUCUGUUUUGCACCACCAGCACAAUUCUUUAUUGAACAAGAGGAAAAAUUUCUCAAAGUGGUUGGGUAAAAUCCCCUAAACUGAAAUCAGAAAACGCAGGACUAUGGGACUACGUAAUCAAUCAGCUUUCUAACCGUAAACCAAAGAUCUCCCAUUGUCACUCGGACCAGUCACUUAGAAACACUGUGUUUCUGUGUUUGUAACCAGUAGCUGAACUUGAAAUGGAUGGAUUUUUUGAAUGCAGUGUAAAGGUACUUCACAGUCUUUGUGCACUGUGAGGAGUUUCUGUGUGGAAACAAAUUUGUGGUACUGGUGCUGCUUUCCACAUGUAGUCCAUGGAUUCAGGAGGUUUGUGAGCUUUUUACAAGAGAUUUGUGCAAAUUUACCUAUGAGGAGUUAGGGAGCUUUGAUUUUGUACCUAAAACUGUGUCCUUUAACCAGGAAGAAAAAGAAAAUGAGAAGUCUGCUGACAGCUAUGACUGAAAGACACUGAUUUGGUGAAGUAUUCAUUUGUGGUAUUAAUGACUGUGUGCUAAUUUCCCAGGCAGGCUAGCAUGUGUGAAAAUAAUGGGUUUACUCAUCUCCUGGGUUCUCAAGGUGGUUUCUCUGUGACCUGAGUUCUUGGGAUGCAAAUCAAAUUCUCAGUGAAUUUAGGUAGUGCAGGGUACAAACCUUGUGAGCAGGAGAGCAAUCUGUGGAUUAGGUGAAAAUAUGGGGGUUGAAUAGGCAUAUAAAGUAAAAAAAAAAAAAAAAGAAUGGUGAUUUUAAAAACAAACAAAUAAACAUCCCAGGAAACCAAGCUCCAGUUCUUUCUCCUGUCUAAUUAAAUUUUAUGACCUCCCUUUUUAAACAGCAUAUGGGACACAGAUUUCCUAGUCAGCUGGGGAUCAGUUAGAUACGUGUCUGCAUGUUAUUCAAGUUCCAGCUGAUUAAGCCUUUGCAUAUACCAGAGGUUUCCUGUGAUAUUUGUACAGACUAUCAUGGACAGCAAACCUAGCUUGGAGCUUUUUGUCAAAAUGAGUUUCAUCCAAAAAUGCCUCCAUUUGUCUUAGCCAAAACUUUGUCAGAAAAAGGUCAAAUCAGAUUUCAAGGCCAUGAAAAAUUAGCUUUUGUAAAACAAGAUUUUGACACAUCAAAUUAAAAGAUAUUGUUUCUCUGUAAAAUGGGUUUCAGUUAUAAGACAUAAGUACAGUUGAAAUGUUUUGAAGAUCACCUAAAUGAAAUAUUUCUAUUGACAUUUUUGACAUUAAUAUUAUUAUUAUUAGUUAAUAAAAUUUUUCAAGUUUUUUAUUAUUUUGUCACAGUUUAAGAAAGACUCCACAAGAUUGGAAAGAGUCCAAAUCCAGUCCUAGUUCAGCCCAUGAUAUGGUGGAUAUCAGAAAGCAAAGCUCAGCAGAAGAAAAUGAAGGAGAACACAUAAGUGUUCUCAGAAAAAAAAAGGAAUGAGGUAUUCCUGUUCUACUUGCCCUUCACAUCUGCUCCCUAGCCUUUAAUCAUUCAUUAGCAUCUUUAGUUCUGGUACAAUUCUUAUCGGGUAUCUAUUCCUACAAGUGAAGCAUAAUAGCAAUGAAUAAUGGGGAUACAUUAUUUUAGCAACUGUUCCUGAUUCUGUUUAAUGACUGGAUACAAAACGGCUUCUCUUCCUUCUAAUAUGGCUAUUUAAUUUAGAUGUACUAUAGAUAGCUGCUUACAGAAGUCAUUCCUUAAAACAACAGGAAACUUUUGCCUGUUUACAUAUAUCAUACAAUAAUGGAAUACCUUUUGUAUUUUUCUCAAGGUUAUAUAGAAAACAACUUAGUACGUUAACUAUGGGUCAUUAGGGAAUUGCAUUUCAACAGAAAAAUUCUCUCUCCAUGUAUGUGCUGAAAAAAAAUUACUGGUUAACUUCAAGUUAUGGUGUUUACUAAAUGAUUGCAGUUCUGCUUCAGUGGUUGAAAGUGCAAAAAAAAAUUUGCAUUUUUUUCAAAGUGUUUCCUAUGAACUAUUUAUUAUUGAAAUUACUUGAUGCAGUUAUUUGACCUAGAAGUUGGAGUGAAAGAAAGUUUAGGUGGGACAACUAGGGGUGAGCUAUGUAAGUCUCAGAGACUUCACUGUGAAGUAUUGUAGAAGAAGCAUGUACUAUCAGGGAUAUUUUCUUGGGGAAGAGGGAACAGAAUGUUUCAGCCGAGCCUUCUGCUGAAAACGAUCCAUGAUAAUGAAAGCUGAAGGUCCCACAGCUUCCUGGCCUCACUUCAUCACUGUAUUAUGUAAAUCCUAGAAAACCCCCUGUGAGCAAAGGGCUGCAGGAAAGGGGGACUGCAGACUGCAGACUCUACCAUUGUUUCUCUUUUCUCUUUCCCUUUUGGUGGAGGUUGGUGCAUGGGCAGCUCAGUAAAUAGUCAAUUGACAGUCUUUUGUGCAAUGAGCUCACUGAAAACUGUUUUGUGAGGCUGGAUUUCCAAUUCUGCUGUGUCAGCCAACAUGUUGUGUUCUGGGCAGGUUCUCAGCUGCUGUGACUUGUUACAGAUCUGCAGGAGUGGGUGAAUCCUGAGUAGCUCAUACUAUGAGGAUUUCUUUUACAGAAAAAAUAUGAAAGAAUGUUAUAUAUUUAAUCAUUUUCCAGCUCAGGCUGGAAAAGAUCCAUCUAGCCUAGUAUUCUGGCUCCAAAAGUGAUGGUCAAAACAGAGGGUGGUUACUAAAGAUCAUUGUAACAAUCAUGUAGUAAUAGCUACCUGCCUUAUAUUCUGAACUUCUAGCAGUCUGACUUUCGAAGUCGGAGGUAGAGCCUUUCUGUUUAAUAAGUUCCGAUGGAUGAAUUUGUCCAGGAGAUCUUUAACUCAUGUCAAAUUCUAUAACCACAGCCUUUUGUGGCAAGGAGGUUCAAAGUUACCACCCUGCUGUAUGAAGAAAUUCUUUUGGUUUCCUUGGCUUUCAAACAGAUAAUGAUUUGAUGCAUCCUUGUUUGCUGCCUCCUAUGCUACAAAAAACUUCCAUUCCCUAUUAGACCCAUCAUUGUUACUCAUGAUUUUAGAGAGUUCACCUCUUUGUCUCCUCUUUGCUAUGCACACUAAUCCUAGAUUUUGUUAUCCUUUGAAAUUGUUACAACUUCUAUUUCUUGGUUUUCUAUCUCUUCUAUUUUCUCUUUCCUAAAAACAAACUGAUAUAUAAUUUUCAAGGGAGCCCCAAGGGAGCCUCCUUGAGUUUAUAGCAAACAGGGAUGCAAACAAUUCCUGCAGCUCAUUGGCACAACCUUCUCUCUCCUGUAUGCUCUUUUAUAUCUUAGCAAUCUACUGCAGCAUUCUUUGACAGGUGUCUUGCUUGCUACAGGAAAGUAUUAACUACAAGUUUUUGAUGCCUGCCAAUGCCUUUCUCAGCCUAUGGUCACUUUCUAGUUUAUGUCUUAUUUUCACCUAAACUUUGUAAGGGAUGUAAUCUUUGGUAAUAAACUACCUCUGUAACCACAGCAGCUUUUUCUGAAGUGCUAACUCUGAGACCUCCAGGUGCUGGGAGGUAUCUUCCUCUUGGGCUUGUCACUUUUGAUACAUCUUUUACAAGCUUCCACUUUCUUUUUGUUAACCUCAAGUGCUACCACAGUAGAUUUUCUGGGGGGGGUUUAUUGCUUAUGCAUGCAUAAUAAGUCUAAUUUCAUUACAGUUAUUGUUAACAUAGUUCUUUGAUACAGAAGGAUUCAAAUGACAGGUCAGAUUGCUUUCAUGGUCUGCUUCAUGUACUGUGGCUGUGGAUUCUUUUUUCCCCAAUUACUUUUCCUUUCAUUUAAGAUGAUGUGACCCCCUACCUUUUUCAAGUUGUUCCGAACGAAGUUUAAAAAUGGAAGAUGUUUCUUUUUCUCUCAAUGCACUACCCUUUAUUUAUUGGCUUGAUUGCAUCGUUGACAACACCUGUAUUUGUAAGGCAAGAGGAAGGUGUGCAGUUCUGCCACACAAGGAGCAGCUGGCCAGUGCCAGUAACUCAACCUGCAGGGCCGAGCCUGGCGAGUUUCCUGACCGUGUCCCGGCAGCUGCCCCGGCGUUGGGGUGCUCAGCCACCCACUGCAGGCUUUGGAGCAGCAGUGUGGGAACACUGCCCUUCCAGAGAGGCCAGGGUUUACAGUUUUCCUCCAACCAAGGUCUCUGGGCCAAGUUCCACCCAGAACACCUUUGUGGAACUGCAGCACACAUUAAUAAUAACAGAGAGGCAUAUGGGCAGCGGGCAGGCUGGAGCGUGAGGCAUGCUGACUGCAAAAACCCAAAUUUGGGGAAGUAAUCUGAGAGAGUGCUACCAAAAAGUAUUUGUCAUUUUAAAGUAUGUUUCCCUAGUGCUUUUGCAUUUGAUUGAUGGAUUUACCUUACCUGAAAUGUACCCUGAAAGGCUCUGGCAGUUCAGCAAGCAAGAAAACUUCAAAUAAGUAUUUGUAGCUGUAUCUGCAGUGAUGAAAGCUAACCUGAAGGAGAGGAAAAGGUAUUGACUGAUUUUUAUGCUUCUGGAGGAAAUUAAAACUUGAAAACUUUUUUUUCCCCCCAAGAAUCACAUACUGGAGAUGCCAGGGGAAAUGUACUUAAAUGAAAACUUGCAUCCCAGGUAUAAUUGCACUAUCAUUAGCGUGGUUGUUGGGCUGGGCCCUGCUAACAAAAUGCACUAUCUAUUUUGCUAUUAACUUUUACAUCAAGAUGUUACAAAAGCAGUAGGUAAGCAGGACACAGGAACUAUCCUCAUUUUCUUUGGAAUGUGCCCUGCACUGUCAAAUACAAGUAGAAGGCUAUAAAGGAGCCAGUAAGGUUUAGGGAGGGCCCAGUUCUGUUUCAGAUUGUGCAAGGUUGCACUGUCGCAAGCACCAUUUUUUCUGAGAGCUUUUAAGACAGUAGUAUACUUACAAUAAUGCACAAAUGAAUGAAAUUCUUGUUUUAAGAAACACUUAAAACAAGAAUUUCAUUCAUUUGUGCAUUACUGUCUUAAAUGUUCUUAUCUUUCCUCAUGCUUAAUAUUAGUGAAAGAGGCCUUAUGUCUAAUCAGGAAAAGACUUGAGACCUACUUUUAUCCCAAUCAAUUCGCUAGUGCUCAUUGAGGACUUUGAGAAAUCUUUGAAACCUUCAAGGGAUUCAGGCAAAAUUUUGCAGGAUAAUUUUUUUUUUCUCCCCUUAUAAGUCUUUAGUGCUGAGCUGUCCUGAAACAUGUGCAGAAAUUAUCCUCUGCCAAGGUAAGGGAUCCAAUAUGCCUGUAACCACCCUGGCUUCGGGUUACCUGUAAACUGAGAAAGACAUUCUUAAAUGUCCUUAAACAUGAUGAGGACACCCUUUAUGUUCCAGUAGAAAUUAGAACUUGCAGUCAAAGAUGGAUCUGGAGAGAGAGCAUUCCCUAUGCACAUGUUGAUUCAGAUAUUCCCACUGUGGAAAGUGUAUCUGCCUAGGCCUAGAGCUUUAGGUGACCACUGUGUGUCUCUUAGAAGUGCCAGUGUUUCUGUCUGGCUAUCCCUCCUCAUUUGCUAGGGACUGGAUCUCAGUCACCAAGCUGAUCCUUGUCCAGUCUGCUUCAAGAGAUGAGGAUCCAUGAGUGAAAGCCCAGACUUCUGAGGUGUUUUCCGCCUUUAGCUCCUGGUGACAUCGGACUAAAAUGCACUUUUACAUCUCUUUCAGUGUCCUCUUUAGGCCUUUGAAAGCAGUUCUUGAGCAGCCCAGUGCAGAGCGCCUGCGAGAGUCCACAGGCAGUGAGUGACUGAAGCUGCAUGUGGCAGUCUGGAUCAGCUUUAUUGCAGCACUGCAGUGAUACCAUCCAAACUGAGGUCUUUUUACAAGGCGCGGCGUUGUUUGCCAGACCGACGUUAACAUGCAUGAUUUAAAUGAUGGCACAAGCGGAACUUCGUCUCAAAAUGGAGAUAUUAAAGAUACCAAAAUAUUAUCUUUCCUCUUGCCAAUGAGAGCAGCUGGCAGGAUGGGUUUACUGAACAAAAACUUUGGCCAGCAGACAAAGGUUAUCGUUUUCACAGACUUUCCUUCUGAAGUACAGGAUUAACAAAACAUGUUAUUUUUUUUAUUUCAAAAUUGGAGGGUUUGUGUCUUUCAUCUGGUCAAAUUUAGCUUAAAAGUGGAAAUAAUAUCAAAGUUACAUGCACCAUAGGGAGACUGUUAAUGUGGUAACAAAGGGCAUUUGGCCAGUUCAAAUAAUAAAAGACUAUACAGCUUUCCCAGUGAUGGCUGGAGCCCAAUUAGUACUUUCCAAGUAGAGCCACAAUAUUCUUUUCCAAAUUAUGCGGUUUGGCAUGAAUCAGAGUGAGUAAACUUACUUUCCUACAAGGGAAAAAUAUAAUUAAGAGAAAAAACAAGGUCAUGCAGUAUUAUGCUUCAAGUAAGCAAUAAUACACCAUAGGGUGUUCGUUAGUCAAUAUUCAUACACCCUGAACAGGCUGAGACAGAGACAAAGCAAUGGCUCAGCAUACAAAAAGAUACAUAUAUUACCUUUAUAAAGCUAUGUGCAAAAGUAAAAUGCAAAUGGAUGUUUUAUUUCCUUACUAGAUUAAGAGAAUAUGUGUUCAAUGUUCAUGUGUAUAACACUCAUAAAUGUUACUUAAAAAUACCUUUUCUGUUAACAUUUUAUACUUUUUAGUAAUAAGAGAACUUGCUGCUUUCAUUUUUUCUGGGUAUCUGUUUUAUUGGGGUUUUUUCCUGCUAUUAAAGCCAAAAUGGUUUGAAAGUUU